UACGUAGGGUGCAAGCGUUGUCCGGAAUUAUUGGGCGUAAAGAGCUCGUAGGCGGUUUGUUAAGUUUGGGCUUAAAGACUGGGGCUCAACCCCAGGAGUGGCUCGAAAACUGACAGACUAGAGGAUGGCAGAGGAAAGUGGAAUUCCCAGUGUAGCGGUGAAAUGCGCAGAUAUCGGGAGGAACACCUAUGGCGAAGGCAGCUCGCUGGGACGUUACUGACGCUGAGACGCGAAAGCGUGGGGAGCAAACAGG
This 253-nucleotide ribosomal RNA is filed under the name uncultured bacterium. Its description in RNAcentral is "partial 16S ribosomal RNA". It matches the Rfam family "Bacterial small subunit ribosomal RNA", at positions 524 to 776 of the family's 1533-position model. The record is from RNAcentral.